AUCAGAGAUGAGACUGAGGUGCAGAAAUGUGCACUGUAACAGCCUGCUCUUUAUCUGAUCUGUGAGCAGUCUGAACUCGUUCCUCAGCAACACCACACUCCUUCCGCCCAAAGUAAAGUCUGCAUAGUUUCCUCCUACUAUUAAUACAUCUUGUGGUGGAGAGAGACCUCUUCAAGCCUAGAUGCACAGACUCCCUACUGCGACAGCUCCCUGUUCUCAGGGAUGGCCUACAGAAAGAACACAGGGACGGGAUGGUCUGUCUUCUGGUUAAAGCACUGAGCCGGUAUUCAGUGACCUGGGCACAA
Molecule: non-coding RNA, 305 nt
Organism: Pelodiscus sinensis (Chinese soft-shelled turtle)
Lineage: Eukaryota; Metazoa; Chordata; Testudines; Trionychidae
Source: RefSeq, a predicted model, not a curated record